GGAAUAUAUAUUUAUUUGAUU
This 21-nucleotide non-coding RNA is filed under the name Caenorhabditis elegans. Lineage: Eukaryota; Metazoa; Nematoda; Chromadorea; Rhabditida; Rhabditidae. The record is from RNAcentral.